AGUUUGAUCCUGGCUCAGAUUGAACGCUGGCGGCAGGCUUAACACAUGCAAGUCGAGCGGGGAAAGGUAGCUUGCUACCUGACCUAGCGGCGGACGGGUGAGUAAUGCUUAGGAAUCUGCCUAUUAGUGGGGGACAACAUUCCGAAAGGAAUGCUAAUACCGCAUACGCCCUACGGGGGAAAGCAGGGGAUCUUCGGACCUUGCGCUAAUAGAUGAGCCUAAGUCAGAUUAGCUAGUUGGUGGGGUAAAGGCCUACCAAGGCGACGAUCUGUAGCGGGUCUGGGAGGAUGAUCCGCCACACUGGGACUGAGACACGGCCCAGACUCCUACGGGAGGCAGCAGUGGGGAAUAUUGGACAAUGGGCGAAAGCCUGAUCCAGCCAUGCCGCGUGUGUGAAGAAGGCCUUUUGGUUGUAAAGCACUUUAAGCGAGGAGGAGGCUACUUGGAUUAAUACUCUAGGAUAGUGGACGUUACUCGCAGAAUAAGCACCGGCUAACUCUGUGCCAGCAGCCGCGGUAAUACAGAGGGUGCGAGCGUUAAUCGGAUUUACUGGGCGUAAAGCGUGCGUAGGCGGCUUUUUAAGUCGGAUGUGAAAUCCCUGAGCUUAACUUAGGAAUUGCAUUCGAUACUGGGAAGCUAGAGUAUGGGAGAGGAUGGUAGAAUUCCAGGUGUAGCGGUGAAAUGCGUAGAGAUCUGGAGGAAUACCGAUGGCGAAGGCAGCCAUCUGGCCUAAUACUGACGCUGAGGUACGAAAGCAUGGGGAGCAAACAGGAUUAGAUACCCUGGUAGUCCAAUCCCG
RNAcentral lists this ribosomal RNA (799 nucleotides) under bacterium C11. Its description in RNAcentral is "bacterial SSU rRNA". It matches the Rfam family "Bacterial small subunit ribosomal RNA", at positions 10 to 803 of the family's 1533-position model. The record is from RNAcentral.